This 216-nucleotide small RNA is filed under the name Bos taurus (domestic cattle). The record is from RNAcentral. Lineage: Eukaryota; Metazoa; Chordata; Mammalia; Artiodactyla; Bovidae.
UCUGUGUAGCUUUAUGUGUGCAACUGUCUACCUGUGUCCCCAAGUGCUAUCUCCAUGUAGCUGGAAAGGCCAAAGAUACUGUGACUGUGAUAGGCCUGGUUCUGAUCCAGUGUUCUGAAGAAGGUGCACACAGAUACAGGCUCUCUUCUGAUACAAGUCCUGAGGUUGUACAGGUAAAGUGGCAUCCCUACACGUCAUGGUCUCACGAAUUCCGCU